AUUGAACGCUGGCGGCAUGCCUUACACAUGCAAGUCGAACGGCAGCACGGGUGCUUGCACCUGGUGGCGAGUGGCGAACGGGUGAGUAAUACAUCGGAACGUACCUUAUCGUGGGGGAUAACGCAGCGAAAGCUGUGCUAAUACCGCAUACGCCCUGAGGGGGAAAGCGGGGGAUCGAAAGACCUCGCGCGAUUAGAGCGGCCGAUGCCUGAUUAGCUUGUUGGUGGGGUAAAAGCCCACCAAGGCGACGAUCAGUAGCUGGUCUGAGAGGACGAUCAGCCACACUGGGACUGAGACACGGCCCAGACUCCUACGGGAGGCAGCAGUGGGGGAAUUUUGGACAAUGGGGGAAACCCUGAUCCAGCAAUGCCGCGUGAGUGAAGAAGGCCUCGGGUUGUAAAGACUCUUUUGUCUAGGGAAGAAAUACGCACAGGCUAAUACUCUGUGUGGAUGACGGUACCAGCACAAGAAG
Molecule: ribosomal RNA, 472 nt
Filed under: uncultured bacterium
Lineage: Bacteria
Description: bacterial SSU rRNA
Rfam family: Bacterial small subunit ribosomal RNA
Source: RNAcentral